ACGCGCGCAUCCCGUGCUGCUUUUGCGCUGUUACGAACGUUACGGAGUAGGAACCCGCGAAAUCACGAUCCUCACUGCACUGUGCAACGUGCUAUCGUCAAGGUGUUUUCUCUAGAUAGACCCUAAUAUAUACACGACUUAUAUACGUGUCCGUUGUUUUAUCUUCAUUUAAUCGUUAACCUGGAUAUUUUUUAUUUUUGGACCCUUCAAAGAAGGAUGCCUUUCGUUUAAUCAUACUCCAAAGAUGAAAAAUUAUUAAAUUGUAUUGCCUAGUAUACGUAGAAAGGAAAUAUAAAUUUAUUAACAGCUAGAAGAUAGUGUAGGUAAAUUAUGUAUAAUAGGAGUGUCAAUGAUGGAAUUUCAAUAUCGGAGGAGAUUAAUUGAAAGGGUCGUUUUUUAUGCCGAAGAAGAUAAAUAAAAAAAGAAAAGAAAGAUGAAUUAUUGAAAAGGUUUUCUACGAGAUAACGUAAGGUAAAAGGAGAAAAUUGUUAGCGUCUAUCUGUAUUUUUCGCGGGCAUAUUCGCCACGUGGUGACGUACAUAUAUCAGGCACGUUGCACAGAGCGUCCGUAUAUUAUUUCGGUAUCGUUUAUGGGUAGAAUAUACCGUGCAGUGAGUUAAUAUACCAUAGUGUCGCGGCGUCUUGCGCGCGAAAGUUUCACACGUGCUGAUCUCGUGUUAUUCGUGUUGUUUGGUUAUUAGAGUGUUUAAUAUUAUUCCUAGACUUAUUUUAUUUGUUUCUCUUUCGUUUUCUUUUUUCUAUCUUUCCCUCUCUCUAUCUUUUUUUUUGUAUUUCCCAUCGUCUUUGUCUUUCGUUCUUAACCAACUUCUUCGGUCGGAAGCACCGACAGAAUUUCGUGGAAUUCACGAUCGCGAAUUCGAGAAUGCUCCGGCAAAACCGGUUAUCGUGAGACUCGCGAGAAAGAGGACCUCCAGCAAGGAGACUUCGGAGGUGUAGACCGAUUGCGAAGGGCAAGAUGUCGACAACGAGAUACGAUCGAUUGAUCGAUACUUGAUCAACCAUCGAUAGUGAACUUCCGGUUGCAAACUGUGUAUGCUUCUGCGAAGGGGGACGAUUAACUCACCUAGUUUUGGUUUCGUCUUGCUCGAUCUAGGAUAUAAUAAGGACAACGACAACGAUAACAUCGACGACGAUGAGCCUUCUUGGAGCUUAUUCAAAUUUUCCCUACGGUCUGUUCACGAUUCUCAAAUAUUGAGAAGAUAGAAGAAACAUGUCGGAAGUUAAGACGGAAAGGCCUCGGACUGCUGGUCGAAUAGCACCGACUGGUCGGGUCACUCCAAGCGUUCAUCAAUCGGCUGGUGGUGGAAGACGAAAGGCUAUACCUGUACCACCUCCUAGAGUUCCAACUCCUAUGCCUUCGGCCAAUAACAAUCAGCAAAGUUCUUGUUCGAAUAUCUUGGAGAGCCUCGAGGACACGUUCGUAGAUAAAGGGUUGGGGGGAAUGCGAGGACGAUCAUGCGACUCUCGAACCCGUACCUGACAAUUUAAUGAGCCGGAUUUCACGGGAUCGGCGUUGAAUGGAAAGGGGACUCGGCAAUGUUGUAUGAGAGUUCAGUGGCGUAUGAGCCAAUCGUCGAAGAACGAUGAGUACCGUGGAGAGAAUGGAACGGGGUGUGAAGGCAAAAGGGCGGAAGACAGAAAGAGUGAGAGAGUGAGGGAGUAAGAGGGAGCGAAUGAGAGAGAGAGAGAGAGAGAGAGAGAGAAAGCGAGAAUGCAUACAGGAAAAUCCAGGGGUCAAAAGCCCGCGGAAAUUUUCGACAAAAGCCGCAUGCAUUGUACUCGCCAACUGCGAAAAGCUCGUAACGAGGGUUCUACUAUUGCUCAUGUGUUGUGCUUACUACGAGCACCAGAGCAUUA
This is a long non-coding RNA of Polistes canadensis, 1878 nucleotides long. RefSeq lists it as uncharacterized. The transcript is spliced from 3 exons. The record is from RefSeq and is a predicted model, not a curated record. NCBI's taxonomy places the organism in Eukaryota, Metazoa, Arthropoda, Insecta, Hymenoptera, Vespidae.